CAAGUCAGCAUGGCCUUUAUAUCCUGGGCUACACACACGCUACAAUGGCCAACACAAUAGGUUGCUAAGCCGCGAGGUGGCGCCAAUCCAUAAAGUUGGUCUCAGUUCAGAUUGUAGGCUGCAACCCGCCUGCGUGAAGAUGGAGUUGCUAGUAACCGCAGGUCAGCUAUACUGCGGUGAAUACGUUCCCGGGGCUU
Molecule: ribosomal RNA, 197 nt
Filed under: uncultured Leptolinea sp.
Lineage: Bacteria; Bacillati; Chloroflexota; Anaerolineae; Anaerolineales; Anaerolineaceae
Description: partial 16S ribosomal RNA
Rfam family: Bacterial small subunit ribosomal RNA
Source: RNAcentral